RNAcentral lists this ribosomal RNA (651 nucleotides) under Rhodococcus sp. (in: high G+C Gram-positive bacteria). RNAcentral describes it as "bacterial SSU rRNA". It matches the Rfam family "Bacterial small subunit ribosomal RNA", at positions 84 to 749 of the family's 1533-position model. The record is from RNAcentral. Lineage: Bacteria; Bacillati; Actinomycetota; Actinomycetes; Mycobacteriales; Nocardiaceae.
GGGGUACACGAGCGGCGAACGGGUGAGUAACACGUGGGUGAUCUGCCCUGCACUUCGGGAUAAGCCUGGGAAACUGGGUCUAAUACCGGAUAUGACCUCCUAUCGCAUGGUGGGUGGUGGAAAGAUUUAUCGGUGCAGGAUGGGCCCGCGGCCUAUCAGCUUGUUGGUGGGGUAAUGGCCUACCAAGGCGACGACGGGUAGCCGACCUGAGAGGGUGACCGGCCACACUGGGACUGAGACACGGCCCAGACUCCUACGGGAGGCAGCAGUGGGGAAUAUUGCACAAUGGGCGAAAGCCUGAUGCAGCGACGCCGCGUGAGGGAUGACGGCCUUCGGGUUGUAAACCUCUUUCAGCAGGGACGAAGCGCAAGUGACGGUACCUGCAGAAGAAGCACCGGCUAACUACGUGCCAGCAGCCGCGGUAAUACGUAGGGUGCAAGCGUUGUCCGGAAUUACUGGGCGUAAAGAGUUCGUAGGCGGUUUGUCGCGUCGUUUGUGAAAACCAGCAGCUCAACUGCUGGCUUGCAGGCGAUACGGGCAGACUUGAGUACUGCAGGGGAGACUGGAAUUCCUGGUGUAGCGGUGAAAUGCGCAGAUAUCAGGAGGAACACCGGUGGCGAAGGCGGGUCUCUGGGCAGUAACUGACGCUGA